Molecule: ribosomal RNA, 254 nt
Filed under: uncultured bacterium
Lineage: Bacteria
Description: partial 16S ribosomal RNA
Rfam family: Bacterial small subunit ribosomal RNA
Source: RNAcentral
GGCGGACGGGUGAGUAAUGUCUGGGAAACUGCCUGAUGGAGGGGGAUAACUACUGGAAACGGUAGCUAAUACCGCAUAACGUCGCAAGACCAAGGGGGGGACCUUCGGGCCUCUUGCCAUCAGAUGUGCCCAGAUGGGAUUAGCUAGUAGGUGGGGUAACGGCUCACCUAGGCGACAAUCCCUAGCUGGUCUGAGAGGAUGACCAGCCACACUGGAACUGAGACACGGUCCAGACUCCUACGGGAGGCAGCAUG